GUGGGGAAUCUUCCGCAAUGGGCGAAAGCCUGACGGAGCAACGCCGCGUGAGUGAAGAAGGCCUUCGGGUCGUAAAGCUCUGUCUUCAGGGACGAAAAGGCAGGGGAGUAAUAUGCCCUUGUUGUGACGGUACCUGAGGAGGAAGCUCCGGCUAACUACGUGCCAGCAGCCGCGGUAAUACGUAGGGAGCGAGCGUUGUCCGGAAUUACUGGGCGUAAAGGGCGCGUAGGCGGGAAUUUAAGUAAGGUGUGAAAACUCCGGGCUCAACCUGGAGACUGCACUUGAAACUGGAUUUCUUGAGGGCAGGAGAGGAAAGUGGAAUUCCUAGUGUAGCGGUGAAAUGCGUAGAUAUUAGGAGGAACACCAGUGGCGAAGGCGACUUUCUGGACUGUACCUGACGCUGAGGCGCGAAAGCGUGGGGAGCGAACAGGAUUAGAUACCCGGGUAGUCC
Molecule: ribosomal RNA, 451 nt
Filed under: uncultured bacterium
Lineage: Bacteria
Description: partial 16S ribosomal RNA
Rfam family: Bacterial small subunit ribosomal RNA
Source: RNAcentral